Molecule: ribosomal RNA, 516 nt
Filed under: uncultured bacterium
Lineage: Bacteria
Description: bacterial SSU rRNA
Rfam family: Bacterial small subunit ribosomal RNA
Source: RNAcentral
CGGGCGUGCCUAAAUACAUGCAAGUCGAACGCCAUUUGUGGUUGAAAUGAUAUGAAGAACUUGUUCAGAUUUGAUUUUCAACAUUGCAAUGAGUGGCGAACGGGUGAGUAACACGUGGGAAACCUACCUCUUAGCAGGGGAUAACAUUUGGAAACAAUGCUAAUACCGUAUAAUAAUUAAACCGCAUGGGUUUUAGUUUAAAAGAUGGUCUUGCUAUCACUAAGAGAUGGUCCCGCGGUGUAUUAGUUAGUUGGUGAGGUAAUGGCUCACCAAGACAAUGAUACAUAGCCGAGUUGAGAGACUGACCGGCCACAAUGGGACUGAGACACGGCCCAUACUCCUACGGGAGGCAGCAGUAGGGAAUCUUCCACAAUGGACGAAAGUCUGAUGGAGCAACGCCGCGUGUGUGAUGAAGGGUUUCGGCUCGUAAAACACUGUUGUAAGAGAAGAAUGACAUUGAGAGUAACUGUUCAAUGUGUGACGGUAUCUUACCAGAAAGGAACGGCUAAAUACGUG